Molecule: ribosomal RNA, 463 nt
Filed under: Vreelandella stevensii
Lineage: Bacteria; Pseudomonadati; Pseudomonadota; Gammaproteobacteria; Oceanospirillales; Halomonadaceae
Description: partial 16S ribosomal RNA
Rfam family: Bacterial small subunit ribosomal RNA
Source: RNAcentral
CCUACGGGUGGCUGCAGUGGGGAAUAUUGGACAAUGGGCGAAAGCCUGAUCCAGCCAUGCCGCGUGUGUGAAGAAGGCCUUCGGGUUGUAAAGCACUUUCAGUGGGGAAGAAAGCCUUGGGGCUAAUACCCUCGAGGAAGGACAUCACCCACAGAAGAAGCACCGGCUAACUCCGUGCCAGCAGCCGCGGUAAUACGGAGGGUGCGAGCGUUAAUCGGAAUUACUGGGCGUAAAGCGCGCGUAGGCGGUCUGAUAAGCCGGUUGUGAAAGCCCCGGGCUCAACCUGGGAACGGCAUCCGGAACUGUCAGGCUAGAGUGAAGGAGAGGAAAGUAGAAUUCCCGGUGUAGCGGUGAAAUGCGUAGAGAUCGGGAGGAAUACCAGUGGCGAAGGCGGCCUUCUGGACUGACACUGACGCUGAGGUGCGAAAGCGUGGGUAGCAAACAGGAUUAGAACCCUUGUAGU